ACAUGUAAGUGAGGCGGAUCAAAGUGGCCGGGUAUUCUGAAGCUUAGUAAUCGCGCUACUAGCAGCAAAAUAGGCAAAAUCGAGGAGAAGAGGAAAAGAGUGAAAGCAUGCAGCAGAUUGGAUGGGUGUGAGAGUGAACUUCAUGGCUAAAUGUUCGAGAGAGAGCAUCAUUUUCCGUCGAAAUCGGCUGAGGUAGACUGUACUACGACGGAAACAAAAGAUUUAUCACAGGAUGGUAGGAAAAAAGUACGCUCUAAAGUAUAUACUUGGCUUGAUACUGUUUGCAAUGCUACUGUGGCAACUUCGGACAAAUCCUUUUCUCUCGAAUAAAAAUUCCACCUCCAUGACACCAGUUGCUGUAGGGAGAACGAAAACGGAUGACAUGAAGGAACCUGUUAAGAAUAGUUCAAAGCUAAAGAUACAAGCUGCGAAUAUCACAACACCGCACGGCAUAAAUGUAACAACUAAAGGAUCCGAGACAAAGCGUUGGCUUAUAGUAUAUUGGUCAAAGUUUUUUGGAAGAAGGCUCGAUCUGCACGAGACAUUCGAAAAAGGCGACUGCCCAGUACCGUGUGAGUGGACUAGUGAUCAAUCCAGAGCAAAAGAGGCAGAUGCUUUUUUAGUCCAUGCCAGGGACCCACUACCAGACCCACCAAUAAAAUCGGUGCCUUGGAUUCUGCAGACUCGAGAAAAUCCAAUUCACACACCGGUAUUGAACGACGCCAGCUUCAUGUCGAAAUUUAGCUACUUGAAAAGUUAUCGGCUGGACUCAGACUUUCCAGAUCCCUCUGUCUUGCUGCCUGGUGUAGCUCCCCCUGUUCCUUUUAAGAAUAAGACUGGGCUCAUCAUGGCAGCUUUCUCAAAUUGUGAAGUUGUUCGAACCGAGUACAUGAGGCAGCUGAUGAAGUUUGUAAAGGUUGAUUCCUUCGGCGCCUGUCUAAGGAAUAAUAAUGGUCUAGUGGGUAGGUACGGCAAAAACAAACAGGGCACUGAUUUCAGAGAUGCUAAAUCCAUGCUGGCCAGACAGUACAAGUUCAACCUGGUGUUCUUCAACCAAGACUGUAAUUAUUUUGUGGAUGCUCAACUACACCACGCAAUGGAUGCAGGCUCGGUUCCUGUUGUCAUGGCUACAGAUAAGCUGGAUGAGUUUCUACCUGGGCCCUAUCUUAACCGUUCAGUGAUAAAAGUGCGUGAUUUCAAGAGCCCACAACUGUUGGCUGAAUACCUCAAGUAUCUUAGCAACAACGAAACCGAGUACAAUAAAUAUCUGGAGUGGAAGUGGAAAGGAUAUGGCAACAUCAGUGGAACUGCUAUCGGAAAUUAUUGGAUGCCAAAGUAUCCGUUGUAUUGUCAAGUUUGUGUUGCAGUUUCGAAAGGGAAAGGACACAAAGAGGGUCUGAAACCAUUCAAUUGCAAACCAAGGAAAUUUGAAGACUGGGGAAUUACAAAAGGAGCCUAACUUAAGUCAACUAUUGUCAGUUGUAGAGGAAACUGUUAGCCUGUGGAAACCGACGUUAAUUAGAAAUACCGGUAAAAUAUUGCUUAUAAAGAAGUAUUAAUUUGGGAGAACUUACGACACGAGCAAUGGAAAUGCUUUUGAUGUUAUAGAGGUGCUGACGAUUAAGAAUAAGGAAAAUGAACACGACCUUCAAACUGAAGUUGGUCACUGUGUUGCACAAGUGUGUAGCUCAAAACAAAAGUGUAAACAACAAAAUAUACAAAUGGGAAGCUGCAUUAAAUUAGAAGUAGACCCAACAUUCCGUUUGUCAGAUGUGAUGAAUGUAGGAUGAGGUUGUCGGCCAGAAAAAAAGAGUGAUCACAAAUCCAAAUUCAUGCACUAAAGCAAGUGGAGAAUGGAGGGUAGUUUGUGACGAGCGGUGGGCAGAGUUUUUCGGGUUUGGAUGGCCUUAUGUGAAGAAUUUCCUCGGUGAGUCUUUCUGUAGCAGAUAACCUUGAGGAGGUUUGAAAGUUGGCGAAGAGAAAAGUUGGACAAAUUGAUAAAGUAAUCUUUAAGCAGCACCUUGUGCAAGUUUCCUAAAGACAACGAACCAGAAGCUUGGUUAACGUAAAUCCUAGAUUAAAACAGUGAGUUAGUGUUUCUCCUGAUCAACAAUCCCGUAAAUAACUGACUGGAUCAGCUGAGAGACCCAUUCAAAGGUCCACUGUGAAUUCUCUCACUUUUACCACAGCACAAUUGAACGUUGUUCUUGUUAUACGGCUCGACUAACUGAAUCUCCCACACUACGAAGAUAAACCCUUUAAAUCCCACAGGUGACCAAGGCAGAAUUUCUCCUUACAUUAUAAUCAGUUGAUCCAAUACCAGAUUCUUCUAACUAACUUUAUAAGAAUUGCAUGGCAGACACUAAGGAGAGAUACUAGUGAGAUCUUAGGAGUGAAAGAGUUAAAUUGAAAAGGUUACACGAACCUCUUUUGAAGAGGUGCAUUCCUGUAGAGUCCGUAGCCUAUCAAUGAGACCUGCUGUGGUUCACUCUUGGAAGUAUUUCCCCACAUACAACUUUGUUACCCUGGAUUUGCUCAACAUUUGCUUCAUGAGUACAAUAAUCCCAUUCAAGAACAAGCAAGGUUUGAUUUUUGUCAUAAAUAUUUAAUAAUGUUGAUUUUAAUUGUCACUU
Non-coding RNA from Pocillopora verrucosa, 2633 nucleotides. The record is from RefSeq and is a predicted model, not a curated record. Lineage: Eukaryota; Metazoa; Cnidaria; Anthozoa; Scleractinia; Pocilloporidae.